Molecule: ribosomal RNA, 253 nt
Filed under: uncultured bacterium
Lineage: Bacteria
Description: partial 16S ribosomal RNA
Rfam family: Bacterial small subunit ribosomal RNA
Source: RNAcentral
UACGUAGGGAGCAAGCGUUGUCCGGAAUCAUUGGGCGUAAAGCGCGCGUAGGCGGCUUUGUAAGUUAGAGGUGAAAGCCCGGAGCUUAACUCCGGAACUGCCUUUAAGACUGCAUCGCUAGAAUCGUGGAGAGGUGAGUGGAAUUCCGAGUGUAGAGGUGAAAUUCGUAGAUAUUCGGAAGAACACCAGUGGCGAAGGCGACUCACUGGACACGUAUUGACGCUGAGGUGCGAAAGCGUGGGGAGCAAACAGG